GAAAUAGGCACAAAGUGUUAUCUGAGGAUUAUCUGCAGAAAGUUGCUUCUAUUGGUGUCAGAAAGAAGCGUUCGUCUCAUCAACAUCAUUCUUUUGGAACGAGUAGUGAUAAAAAGGAACGAUCCAACGAUGUCUUGAAAGUGGUCAAAAUAAUACGUAGAGAUAAGAACCAUAACCUGUCAAAGGAAAAUUUGCUGCAUCAACAGAAAACGAAUAAUAGGUUGCGAAUUGUUGUCCAUGGAGGAGAUGGAUUGUUUGAAACAUAUAGGCUUUCGAAAUCUCAAUUUGAUGGGGAGGAUGUAACUUUCAACUCAAGAAUUUCUGUAACGA
This 330-nucleotide long non-coding RNA is filed under the name Medicago truncatula (barrel medic). RNAcentral describes it as "long non-coding RNA (MTRU_LNC002948)". The record is from RNAcentral. Lineage: Eukaryota; Viridiplantae; Streptophyta; Magnoliopsida; Fabales; Fabaceae.